This is a non-coding RNA of Ictidomys tridecemlineatus (thirteen-lined ground squirrel), 1242 nucleotides long. The record is from RefSeq and is a predicted model, not a curated record. Lineage: Eukaryota; Metazoa; Chordata; Mammalia; Rodentia; Sciuridae.
CCAAGAGUGAACCAGCCAUGGGGAAGCUUUGCAACCUGGGGCCUGCAGCAUCCCACUGAAGCCCUUUCCCAGCCUACAUUCUACAACCCCUGCCUCACACAGUCACUUUCAGGAUUCAAUAAGAAAGCACCGUUUCCACAGCACCAGGAUUUCCAAGAAGAGAAAACUGGAGAUGCCAAACAGAGUAACACUCACCCUUAGGAACAGAACAUUCUUUGGAAAGAUGCUUGCAACUUUACACCAUAGCCAAGGUUAACACUCAUCUCCUUUUGAGAAUGGGGUUGGGGACAUUGAGGCUCAAAGAAUAAAUCUGGUCAGAGAUAAUCCAAGGGCAAAACUAGGGCCCGAUAUUCUCACCUGGCCCCCCCGCACACUCACCCAACACUGGGAAGCAUCUUGCUGAGCACAUACAUUGUCAGGUGGCCAGCAGCAGAGUGACCAGGGGCCAUGGCCAGGUCAGAUUGCUUAGGGCUGAGCUGUGGCUCCACCACUUGGUGGCCGUGUGACCUUGGACAAAGUCCUGAGCCUCCCUCAUCUCAGUGUCAUCCUGGAAAACAUGGAGAUAGCAUUAGCGAUUGCCGUUCUGGACAGUUCUGAGGAAUACAUGAGCCAACCUGUGUGAAUUACUUGAACGAUGUCUCUCCCAUCGCUGCAUAGAUCCUGGCCACCGUUAUCAUUAUUAAUUCGUAUGAUUUCCCAUUCCCUUGUGUUCAUAAGGACUAACACCAACACUAAUGUCCUCACUGCCUCUUCCCCAGAGAGUGAUGCCACAUGAUGGUAGGACAGGGAUCCUCCUGUAGACUCCAGGAGCUUUGCCUGGAAGCUGCUUCAUACCAGACAGAGAAGCAGCCUGCUCCCUCUAGGACAAGCCUCUGUCCUGGUCCACCUUCCCUUGAAGGUCCGUCCCUUACCACCUGGCAGCAAAGCCCCCUCCAGGCUCCCCACUGGCUCCACCUUCCUGCCACAACUAGAAUGCUGCAGCCUGGGCAGCUAGGACCUGAGACCCAAGACUGAGCCUGGACCCUGAGAGGGGAUCAGGUGGGCUUUCUGGGGGAGGGAGCGGUGGGACUCACAGCUUUUAAAGAGACAGUGUCCGCAGGGCUCUGUGUGGACUGAGCCUUGCUCAAUGGAGCCUCCAGGGCAAUUACCCUAAUCACGUGCCUCUCCCAAACAGCCUUUUGAUUUAUUAACGCGACAUCUUUUUAAAAUGCCGCUCUUAAAUAUAAAUAACACUUAAUCAUC